This 357-nucleotide long non-coding RNA is filed under the name Manihot esculenta (cassava). RNAcentral describes it as "long non-coding RNA (MESC_LNC008274)". Lineage: Eukaryota; Viridiplantae; Streptophyta; Magnoliopsida; Malpighiales; Euphorbiaceae. The record is from RNAcentral.
UGGAUUACUGGGUAUAAAAAAGACCCACAAAGCCUAUAAUCAAAAUAUAAACAAGGCUGAACAGUCCAAUAGAAAAAAAAAAAUCCUAGCUAUUAGCUUUAGCUGGUCAUCCGACCCGUCUCUUCUAAAAUCCGGUAGAACCAACGCUCGUUGGAGACGACGAAGCACAAGGACAAAGGAACAGAAGAUUGACUUUGCCAUCUCAACAAAAACAACUCUAGAAAGAAGAACCACAUCCAAGACAUAAACUUGGAAGAAGAAGCCAUGAAAAAUACAGGCCGAAAAGCUCUGCUCAAACACAUGUAACACCGGAUAGAGACAGGGAGAGGAGGUGGAGCUCCAUGCUUCUCAUUCUCU